AAGUCGUAACAAGGUUUCCGUAGGUGAACCUGCGGAAGGAUCAUUAACACGUAUCCAAACGUUAACCCCCUGUGAACCUUCAAUGUGCUCGUACACUUUGUCUCGCCGAACAGUUUUGAUUCUGGGACUUCCUCAAAGAGUGUGCAUGUUGCGCGAGGCAAGUGGCCUGGCAUUCCCAAGCAGUUAAUGUCUGAAAGUGUCAUUUGCUGUGUAAGGAUGACGCAGUAACGAUCGUUGGAGGCCGACACGGCCGACGACCGGGUCACCGGGCGCAAGCCCCUUUAUCACCACUUGAUGCAUGACAGACGCGCCAGCGCUUAAUUGUGCGGCGACCAAAAACCGAACAACUGUUAACAAUGGAUAUCUUGGUUCUC
Molecule: unclassified non-coding RNA, 374 nt
Filed under: fungal sp.
Lineage: Eukaryota; Fungi
Description: partial internal transcribed spacer region
Rfam family: Eukaryotic small subunit ribosomal RNA (bases 1-46)
Source: RNAcentral